GCCGCCGUGGCGGAACUGGUAGACGCUGCGGACUUAAAAUCCGCUUCCCGCAAGGGAGUGGGGGUUCGACUCCCCCCGGCGGCA
Molecule: transfer RNA, 84 nt
Filed under: Akkermansiaceae bacterium
Lineage: Bacteria; Pseudomonadati; Verrucomicrobiota; Verrucomicrobiia; Verrucomicrobiales; Akkermansiaceae
Description: tRNA-Leu
Rfam family: tRNA
About the family: Transfer RNA (tRNA) molecules are approximately 80 nucleotides in length. Their secondary structure includes four short double-helical elements and three loops (D, anti-codon, and T loops). Further hydrogen bonds mediate the characteristic L-shaped molecular structure. tRNAs have two regions of fundamental functional importance: the anti-codon, which is responsible for specific mRNA codon recognition, and the 3' end, to which the tRNAs corresponding amino acid is attached (by aminoacyl-tRNA synthetases). tRNAs cope with the degeneracy of the genetic code in two manners: having more than one tRNA (with a specific anti-codon) for a particular amino acid; and 'wobble' base-pairing, i.e. permitting non-standard base-pairing at the 3rd anti-codon position.
Source: RNAcentral